This 73-nucleotide transfer RNA is filed under the name Ailuropoda melanoleuca (giant panda). It matches the Rfam family "tRNA". From Rfam's summary of the family: Transfer RNA (tRNA) molecules are approximately 80 nucleotides in length. Their secondary structure includes four short double-helical elements and three loops (D, anti-codon, and T loops). Lineage: Eukaryota; Metazoa; Chordata; Mammalia; Carnivora; Ursidae. The record is from Rfam by way of RNAcentral.
GCCUGGCUGGCUCGGUGGGUAGAGCAUGUGACUCUUAAUCUCAGGGUGGUGAGUUCAAGCCCCAUGUUGAGUA